GGGCCUGUUACGGAUUCGAUUGCAAGCGGAUUUCGUCGGACGCACGUCGGAGGCUCGGCUCCGUAAAAACGGAAAAAAAGUUAAAUGCUGAUAAUAAAAGCAGAAGAUCUACCGUUGCGCGUCGUACUCGCCGCGUAGCGCUUGCGGCUUAACUAAGUUAAGCUCCGUUCCGCCCCGAUUGCCUACGGUCGGGAGCGGAGCGUCAAACGAGUAGGGAACGUUGCGCGGCGGUUGGUUUCCCCCGUCGUGCGAUGAAUUUCGGAAACGUGCCUGCGGAACAGGAUGUCUACGGACUGUCCGCGGGCGAGAUUCGACCAUAGACUAAACGUGUAGUGUCCGCGGAAGAACCUUGUAAGACCGCAGUUCAACUCUGCGCAGGUCCACCA
Molecule: transfer-messenger RNA, 386 nt
Filed under: pig gut metagenome
Rfam family: transfer-messenger RNA
About the family: Bacterial tmRNA, also known as 10Sa RNA or SsrA, is named for its dual tRNA and mRNA-like properties.
Source: RNAcentral